AGGCGCCAGAAAGUGGAAUGACGUCUCUCCAGAAUCUGGGGGAAAAAAAGCAGGAGAUUUUGUGAGUGGUCAGGCUGAGAACAGUGACACUGGAGAUGCGUGUUCAUGUGAAUUCUCCAUGUUUUUCUUUCUCUCUUUGAAUGAAUACAACGUUGCCAGUUGGAAUAUUAUCGCUAUUUUUCGGGAAAAAUCUCAUAACAAUUGAUUUUAAACAGCGUUUGACAUGCUUCUAAAUACGGAAAUGGAAUAUUUUUUGUCACGAAAUGCGCUCGUGCGUCACCCUUCGGAUACUGACCUGAACGCACGAACAAAACGGAGCUAUUUGGAUAUAACUAUGGAUUAUUUGGAACCAAAACAACAUUUGUUGUUGAAGUAGAAGUCCUGGGAGUGCAUUCUGACAAAGAACAGCAAAGAGGACCUGAGCCCUAGGACCAUGCCUCAGGACUGCCUUGCCUGAUGACUCCUUUCUGUCCCCAGUCCACCUGGUCAUGCUGCUGCUCCAGUUUCAACUGUUCUGCCUGCGGCUAUGGAACCCUGACCUGUUCACAGGACGUGCUACCUUGUCCCAGACCUUCUGUUUUCAACUCUUUAAAGACAGCAGGUGCUGUAGAGAUACUCUGAAUGAUCGGCUAUGAAAAGCCAACUGACAUUUACUCCUGAGGUAUUCAUUGUGUUCCGAGUUGAGGCCUAGGAGAGCGUCCUGCGGAUGUCCUGCGCCACAAUGCCCCUUCCACCCAAUCAAACAUCAUUAGACUUUAUUGUCUCCGUGGCAUUUCUGCCUUUGACAUUCCUGCCUCUGGAACUGAAGAUGAGCCAGUGGACACUGGACAGCAGCAGCAGCAUGUUGUUAACCAAUGAAAUCACAGGCAGGGACAUGAAAGGGACAUUAGGGAAGAGUACUUGAUGGACUCUUGGUCGUUUUAAGAACUUUGAUGAUGACUUCAUCAAUUCGUAGUGACAAGCAUUGCUAUUGCCCUUAAAAAGGCUUUAACAAGAGUAAACACAGAACUAUGUAAUGCUUGACACUUCACCUCUUGACAUACAGUAUAUAUGAGUGUAAUGCAUAGGUCAGCAGCACAUGUUUGAAACUAAGGCAGGUAAAGCUGUCUGCCAGAUCACUGGUCCAAAACCAUUAGACUGACUGACACAGAAAGAAGCAGAGGGGUAGGAAAUGACAAUACAGACUUCUUGGCCAGCAUCCAGAACCUUCUGUCAGCCAGGAGAGUGAGGAGACUAAAAUUAUGGAGUUAGGAUGGAUGGAGAUAAUUUGUCUGUGUUGAUACAUCAUUCAUUUUGUCUGAUUUUAGAAUUGACCAAUGCAACCUUUCAGCCACACUCUUAGAAAAAAAGGUUUCCGAAAGGGUUCUUCGGCUGUCCCCAUAGGAGUACCCUUUGAAGAACCCUUUUUGGUUCCAGGUAGAUCCUGGAACCAAAAAAGGGAUCUACAUGGAACCCAAAAGAGUUCUACCUGGAACCAAAAGGGGAUCUACCUGGACCCAAAAACGGUUAUUCGAAAGGUUCUCCUAUCAGGACAGCCAAAGAACUUCUUUAGGUUCUACAUCUAAUAUUUUUUUCUUAGAGUGCAGGCUCAAUCUCUACAGGCUAGAGGGUUUUAUUUAUCCAAAUAUCUUAAUGGACAAUGAAUAACAGGCGUCCCUCAGUAAUGUGUUUAUGGUCUUGGAAUGAAGCUUCACAGCUUUAGUUAAAAGCCCUUGAAACUUGGGUGUUGUAUUACAUUUCAGUCCUAUUCUUCAAGAGGAGCAAGGAUGACUGUGUUAAAUUUUCCUGUCCUUGCUUUCAUGUUUUUCACUUAUGAUGAAUGGCUGUAUUUAGGCUGCUUCCUCUCUCUCUCACACUGAUAUCUUGCUCUGUAUUGAAUCUUUCUUCAAAAUCUCAUCUCCACUUUUUGUUGUCUCAAUUACAGUUUCUUUUUUUGGGGCGUUCAAUGGAUAGCUCUCUGGCAUCAUAUCCAUCCAACAUGGCCAUUACCAGGGCUCAUUUCAUAAAAUGUUGUCUAUAAAUCCUUGAACGUCUCUUUUAUUCAAUAUGAGCAUUGAGUGAGAUUUUACCAAAUAAAUAGUUAUCCUGAGUUUGAACCCCCCUAGCAUCCAUACUAUAUAGUUUCUGGCAUAGAGCCAAUACUACAGCUAAGGUAUUGCCCAGAUUCAAAUGGAAAUAUUAAAUUGUUUUUGAAGAUGAGAGGGCAGCAUGACAGAGCCUUGUUGUAUCGAUCAAGCUGGUAUGAAUAAUAUGAUCUGGGUGAGACCCCAUAUUGGCUUCAUAUUUAUCUCUGUAUUGCGGCAUAUUUAUUCACUGUGAGGGAGGUAUCAGUGACUCAAUGAACAGUGGUUUCAAAAACCAGGGCCGGCUCUAGGCUUUUUGGGAUCCUAAGUGAGAUUUGGUUUGGG
RNAcentral lists this long non-coding RNA (2408 nucleotides) under Salmo salar (Atlantic salmon). RNAcentral describes it as "lncRNA (ENSSSAG00000110787.1)". The record is from RNAcentral. Lineage: Eukaryota; Metazoa; Chordata; Actinopteri; Salmoniformes; Salmonidae.